GUGGGGAGCAAACAGGAUUAGAUACCCUGGUAGUCCACGCCGUAAACGAUGUCGACUUGGAGGUUGUGCCCUUGAGGCGUGGCUUCCGGAGCUAACGCGUUAAGUCGACCGCCUGGGGAGUACGGCCGCAAGGUUAAAACUCAAAUGAAUUGACGGGGGCCCGCACAAGCGGUGGAGCAUGUGGUUUAAUUCGAUGCAACGCGAAGAACCUUACCUGGCCUUGACAUCCACGGAAUUCGGCAGAGAUGCCUUAGUGCCUUCGGGAACCGUGAGACAGGUGCUGCAUGGCUGUCGUCAGCUCGUGUUGUGAAAUGUUGGGUUAAGUCCCGCAACGAGCGCAACCCUUAUCCUUUGUUGCCAGCACGUAAUGGUGGGAACUCAAAGGAGACUGCCGGUGAUAAACCGGAGGAAGGUGGGGAUGACGUCAAGUCAUCAUGGCCCUUACGGCCAGGGCUACACACGUGCUACAAUGGCGCAUACAAAGAGAAGCGACCUCGCGAGAGCAAGCGGACCUCAUAAAGUGCGUCGUAGUCCGGAUCGGAGUCUGCAACUCGACUCCGUGAAGUCGGAAUCGCUAGUAAUCGUAGAUCAGAAUGCUACGGUGAAUACGUUCCCGGGCCUUGUACACACCGCCCGUCACACCAUGGGAGUGGGUUGCAAAAGAAGUAGGUAGCUUAACCUUCGGGAGGGCGCUUACCACUUUGUGAUUCAUGACUGGGGUGAAGUCGUAACAAGGUAA
This 739-nucleotide ribosomal RNA is filed under the name Erwinia sp. LPPA 555. RNAcentral describes it as "bacterial SSU rRNA". It matches the Rfam family "Bacterial small subunit ribosomal RNA", at positions 761 to 1499 of the family's 1533-position model. Lineage: Bacteria; Pseudomonadati; Pseudomonadota; Gammaproteobacteria; Enterobacterales; Erwiniaceae. The record is from RNAcentral.